Molecule: ribosomal RNA, 629 nt
Filed under: uncultured bacterium
Lineage: Bacteria
Description: bacterial SSU rRNA
Rfam family: Bacterial small subunit ribosomal RNA
Source: RNAcentral
CUGGGCGUAAAGGAUGCGUAGGCGGAUAUUUAAGUGAGAUGUGAAAUUCCCGGGCUUAACUUGGGAGCUGCAUUUCAAACUGGAUAUCUAGAGUGUGGGAGAGGAGAAUGGAAUUCCUAGUGUAGCGGUGAAAUGCGUAGAGAUUAGGAAGAACACCAGUGGCGAAGGCGAUUCUCUGGACCAUAACUGACGCUGAGGCAUGAAAGCGUGGGUAGCAAACAGGAUUAGAUACCCUGGUAGUCCACGCCGUAAACGAUGAGUACUAGGUGUAGGAGGGUCCAACCUUCUGUGCCGCAGUUAACACAAUAAGUACUCCGCCUGGGAAGUACGAUCGCAAGAUUAAAACUCAAAGGAAUUGACGGGGGCCCGCACAAGCAGCGGAGCAUGUGGUUUAAUUCGAAGCAACGCGAAGGACCUUACCUGGACUUGACAUCCCCUGAAUUACUCGUAAUGGAGGAAGCCCUUCGGGGCAGGGAGACAGGUGGUGCAUGGUUGUCGUCAGCUCGUGUCGUGAGAUGUUAGGUUAAGUCCUGCAACGAGCGCAACCCUUAUCAUUAGUUGCUACCAUUAAGUUGAGCACUCUAGUGAGACUGCCCGGGUUAACCGGGAGGAAGGUGGGGAUGACGUCA